GAUUAACGCUGGCGGCGUGCAUGAGACAUGCAAGUCGAACGGACGAGCUUGGCUUGCCUUGCUCGUUAGUGGCGGACGGCUGAGUAACGCGUGGGUGACCUGCCCCGAAGUGGGGAAUAACUGCCCGAAAGGGUGGCUAAUACCGCAUGUGGAGAUGGGUUCAAUCCCAUCUCCAAAGCCGCAAGGCGCUUCGGGAGGGGCCUGCGUCCGAUUAGCUCGUUGGUGGGGUAAUGGCUCACCAAGGCGACGAUCGGUAGGUGGUCUGAGAGGACGAUCACCCAGACUGGGACUGAGACACGGCCCAGACUCCUACGGGUGGCAG
This 322-nucleotide ribosomal RNA is filed under the name uncultured Chloroflexota bacterium. RNAcentral describes it as "bacterial SSU rRNA". It matches the Rfam family "Bacterial small subunit ribosomal RNA", at positions 28 to 351 of the family's 1533-position model. Lineage: Bacteria; Bacillati; Chloroflexota. The record is from RNAcentral.